RNAcentral lists this unclassified non-coding RNA (1108 nucleotides) under Hevea brasiliensis (rubber tree). The record is from RNAcentral. Lineage: Eukaryota; Viridiplantae; Streptophyta; Magnoliopsida; Malpighiales; Euphorbiaceae.
AAAUUCUAUAAUUGAAACAACCUUUGCUCACACCUCCACCACCAUCUCUCCAACAAAGGAAGCAGUAGACGCUCAAGUAGUUGGGGACAAAUUGGGGAUAAUUUUCGAAGGGCGACAACAAGCCUAUCUUGAUAAAUUAACCCAAGGUAUCGCAGCAGACCUUCGAUUAUGCAAAUCGCGCAAGUGAAGACUCCAAUAUCAACUCCUACCAACCACACGCAAAUGUUCACCAUGUUUUCCUUCCUUUCUUGGAAUUUCAGGGCUUAGCGCGUGGAGCAAAAUCAGUUCAUCUAAAAUGGUUGAUUGGUAAGUAUAAACUAGAUGUUGCUGUAAUCUUUGAAACUAAGUGUUGCUUUCUGCCUUUUUCUUUUAUUCGGAAUAUGUGGGGUAUGGGAGACUUGGAUUGGGUGACAAUUGAUGCUGUGGGCCUUUCGGGCAGCAUUUCAGUGGUAUGCAAUAAACAAUCGUUCAAGGUCAUCAAUCACUCUUCUUAUGAGCAUUUGUUUUUUAUUUCUGGGAUUCUUGUCUCUAAUCAAUUAUUAAUUUCGGUUGGGUUUAUUUAUGCUCCCUGUGAUGUUCAAGCACAACAGACUUUUUGGUUUGAGAUUUAUAGGGAAUUAGGAUCAAUAAAUGGCUCUCUUAAGCUUAUGGGUGACUUCAAUCAAUUCUUGGAUGGGUCUGAAAUGAGUAGGGGAUGGUUCUCAGCGUCUGGUAUCAAUGGGCUAAGGAAUCUAAUUUCUAAUUUGCAUUUGGUGGAUUUGGAAUUGAAAAGAAAAAGGUUUACUUGGAGGAACGCUCACUUAAUGAGUCGAAUUGAUCAUGCACUUGUCUCACAUCACUGGAUUUCUAAUUUUCCUAAUCUACUCUUGCAUGGUUUACCCAGAAAGCCAUCGGAUCAUAACCCAUUGCUUCUGUCCUCUGAAAGCAACGAUUGUUUUUCUACCCACCAUCUACAAAAUUUUACGCUGCUUUCAACUGAUGUCUGGGUGAUAAGUUAAUUUCCAUAAGAGUGUCCUCUACAAACUCAAUGUAAAUGACUCUGUAAUUAGCUCAACAGCUCUCGCAGCCUGUUAUCAAAUAGGGAAACUUCCUACAAGGUACUUGGGAU